UACGUAGGUGGCAAGCGUUGUCCGGAUUUAUUGGGUUUAAAGGGUGCGUAGGCGGCCAAUUAAGUCAGUGCUGAAAUACUCUAGCUUAACUAGAGGGGUGGCAUUGAUACUGAUUGGCUUGAGUGAAGUCGAAGUAGGCGGAAUUGACGGUGUAGCGGUGAAAUGCUUAGAUAUCGUCAAGAACACCGAUAGUGAAGACAGCUUACUAGACUUCAACUGACGCUGAGGCACGAAAGUGUGGGUAGCAAACAGG
RNAcentral lists this ribosomal RNA (253 nucleotides) under uncultured bacterium. RNAcentral's name for it is "partial 16S ribosomal RNA". It matches the Rfam family "Bacterial small subunit ribosomal RNA", at positions 524 to 776 of the family's 1533-position model. The record is from RNAcentral.